Eriocheir sinensis (Chinese mitten crab) is the source of this 153-nucleotide long non-coding RNA. RefSeq lists it as uncharacterized. NCBI's taxonomy places the organism in Eukaryota, Metazoa, Arthropoda, Malacostraca, Decapoda, Varunidae. The record is from RefSeq and is a predicted model, not a curated record. The transcript has 3 exons.
GUCAUGUGCACCUGUACCAAGGAAGGGAACAACUUUACGAGCUCCGCAAGACCAGCCUGGGACGUGUGAUCUGCGACAACAGCGACAAGCUCCAGCACGUCCAGCCCAAGGUCAUGCUGGAGGCUGAUUCCUUCCUGAAUGCCCCAAUGGCCU